This is a non-coding RNA of Potamilus streckersoni, 73 nucleotides long. The record is from the annotation of a GenBank genome assembly. Lineage: Eukaryota; Metazoa; Mollusca; Bivalvia; Unionida; Unionidae.
GAUCCGGUGGCCUAGUGGUUAGAGCGCCCGUCUCGGAUGGGGGAGGUCGUGGGUUCGAUCACCGGUCGAGUCA